RNAcentral lists this long non-coding RNA (616 nucleotides) under Marmota monax (woodchuck). Lineage: Eukaryota; Metazoa; Chordata; Mammalia; Rodentia; Sciuridae. The record is from RNAcentral.
UAAGCUACAAUGGUUCUCCCACACCUGGAAGCUAAUGAGUAAUAACACUAUUAAUGCUUAUUUCAAAUGUAAAAAACCUUGAGAUAAUGUACUAAAUUGUUCAGAAGGUUGUUUUCUUAGUUGAAUGCUACAGGAUUUUCUUUAGCCAUCCGGAGUUCCUGCCUUCGUCCCAGUGCCGGUAAAGACUAAGGUGGAAGAAUUUCCAGUGUUGCUGAAAACCGGACAAGACAUCGGCUGAGAAAUGGACGAGACUUCGAAUCAAGCUAGCUGCCUGCAGAACUUACCUGGACUGUGAUUUAAGCUAGCUGCCUGCAGAACUUACCUGAACUGUGAUUUACCUGGACUGUGAGUUAAUCUAUUGAGACACUGCUUUACCUGGACUGAGACAACAAACUGUAAUCUAUAACAAAUUGUAACUCGGUAUCUUUGCUAACAGUGUCAUUGCUGGUAUGAUUUUUCCAAGGGCUUCUUGCAUGGAGCCAUCAAUUGGCUUGGUAUUGUGGCAUUUUGUAUCCUCCCUUUCUGUUUGUAGCAGGUUAUUUAUGGUGUUUCUGUAAAAACCACUAUGGUCGUUAUUUAAAUUAAACAAAAGGGGGAAAUGUUAGAGUCUGUAAAC